Molecule: ribosomal RNA, 680 nt
Filed under: uncultured beta proteobacterium
Lineage: Bacteria; Pseudomonadati; Pseudomonadota; Betaproteobacteria
Description: bacterial SSU rRNA
Rfam family: Bacterial small subunit ribosomal RNA
Source: RNAcentral
GCAUGCUUUACACAUGCAAGUCGAACGGUAACAGGUCUUCGGAUGCUGACGAGUGGCGAACGGGUGAGUAAUACAUCGGAACGUGCCUAGUAGUGGGGGAUAACUACUCGAAAGAGUAGCUAAUACCGCAUGAGAUCUACGGAUGAAAGCAGGGGACCUUCGGGCCUUGUGCUACUAGAGCGGCUGAUGGCAGAUUAGGUAGUUGGUGGGGUAAAGGCUUACCAAGCCUGCGAUCUGUAGCUGGUCUGAGAGGACGACCAGCCACACUGGGACUGAGACACGGCCCAGACUCCUACGGGAGGCAGCAGUGGGGAAUUUUGGACAAUGGGCGAAAGCCUGAUCCAGCAAUGCCGCGUGCAGGAUGAAGGCCCUCGGGUUGUAAACUGCUUUUGUACGGAACGAAAAGCCUGGGGCUAAUAUCCCCGGGUCAUGACGGUACCGUAAGAAUAAGCACCGGCUAACUACGUGCCAGCAGCCGCGGUAAUACGUAGGGUGCAAGCGUUAAUCGGAAUUACUGGGCGUAAAGCGUGCGCAGGCGGUUUUGUAAGACAGUGGUGAAAUCCCCGGGCUCAACCUGGGAACUGCCAUUGUGACUGCAAGGCUAGAGUGCGGCAGAGGGGGAUGGAAUUCCGCGUGUAGCAGUGAAAUGCGUAGAUAUGCGGAGGAACACCGAUGGCGAA